Salmo salar (Atlantic salmon) is the source of this 45-nucleotide non-coding RNA. The record is from Rfam. NCBI's taxonomy places the organism in Eukaryota, Metazoa, Chordata, Actinopteri, Salmoniformes, Salmonidae.
CCAAAGGCUCUUUUAAGAGCCACCCACUAAGUAAAAAUAGCAAUU